GGACAACUGCCCUGAGGACUGGAAUAAUCCCGGGAAACUGGGAGUAAUUCCAGAUAUGCCGGGGAACCUGGAAUGGUUUCUGGCAGAAAUGCUCCGGCGCCUCAGGAUGGGUCUGCGGCCUAUCAGGGUAGUAGUGGGUGUAACGUACCCACUAGCCUACGACGGGUACGGGUUGUGAGAGCAAGAGCCCGGAGAUGGAUUCUGAGACAUGGAUCCAGGCCCUACGGGGUGCAGCAGGCGCGAAAACUUUACAAUGCGGGCAACCGCGAUAAGGGGACCUCGAGUGCUGGGUUACAAACCUGGCUGUUGGGCUGCCUAAAAAGCAGUCUAUAGCAAGGGCCGGGCAAGACCGGUGCCAGCCGCCGCGGUAACACCGGCGGCUCGAGUGGUAACCGCUGUUAUUGGGUCUAAAGGGUCUGUAGCCUGCCGGCUAAGUCUCUUGGGAAAUCUGGCAUCUCAAGUGUCAGGCUGCCAGGGGAUACUGGUCAGCUUGGGACCGGGAGAGGUGAGAGGUACCUCAGGGGUAGGGGUGAAAUCUUGUAAUCCUUGAGGGACCACCAGUGGCGAAGGCGUCUCACCAGAACGGAUCCGACGGCAAGGGACGAAAGCUAGGGGCACGAACCGGAUUAGAUACCCGGGUAGUCCUAGCCGUAAACGAUACUCGCUAGGUGUCGGCCACGGUGCGACCGUGGUCGGUGCCGUAGGGAAGCCGUGAAGCGAGCCACCUGGGAAGUACGGCCGCAAGGCUGAAACU
RNAcentral lists this ribosomal RNA (754 nucleotides) under Methanosaeta sp. enrichment culture. RNAcentral's name for it is "bacterial SSU rRNA". It matches the Rfam family "Archaeal small subunit ribosomal RNA", at positions 102 to 856 of the family's 1478-position model. The record is from RNAcentral. Lineage: Archaea; Methanobacteriati; Methanobacteriota; Methanomicrobia; Methanotrichales; Methanotrichaceae.